GGCUUAACCCGGGGCCUGCAGCGAAACUGUGGUGCUGGAGUAUGGGAGAGUGCGUGGAAUNCCCGGUGUAGCGGUGAAAUGCGUAGAUAUCGGGAGGAACACCUGUGGCGAAAGCGGCGCACUGGACCAUAACUGACGCUGAGGCGCGAAAGCUAGGGGAGCAAACAGGAUUAGAUACCCUGGUAGUCCUAGCCCUACACGAUGAUUGCUUGGUGUAGCAGGUACCCAAUCCUGCUGUGCCGCAGCUAACGCGAUAAGCAAUCCGCCUGGGGAGUACGGUCGCAAGGCUGANACUCAAAGGAAUNGACGGGGGCCCGCACAAGCGGUGGAGCAUGUGGUUCAAUNCGACGCAACGCGAAGAACCUUACC
This 369-nucleotide ribosomal RNA is filed under the name uncultured bacterium. RNAcentral describes it as "bacterial SSU rRNA". It matches the Rfam family "Bacterial small subunit ribosomal RNA", at positions 606 to 975 of the family's 1533-position model. The record is from RNAcentral.